RNAcentral lists this unclassified non-coding RNA (391 nucleotides) under soil metagenome. RNAcentral describes it as "partial contains 5.8S ribosomal RNA, internal transcribed spacer 2, and large subunit ribosomal RNA". The stretch from base 1 to 122 matches the Rfam family "5.8S ribosomal RNA", at positions 35 to 154 of the family's 154-position model. The record is from RNAcentral.
GAUGAAGAACGUAGCGAAAUGCGAUACUUGGUGUGAAUUGCAGAAUCCCGUGAACCAUCGAGUCUUUGAACGCAAGUUGCGCCCGAAGCCAUUAGGCCGAGGGCACGCCUGCCUGGGCGUCACACGUCGUUGCCCCCCCAUCUACUCCUUCGGGAUUGCGGGGGGCGGAUGAUGGCCUCCCGUGCGCCUCGCCGCGCGGUUGGCAUAAAUGCCAAGUCCUCGGCGACGCACGCCACGACAAUCGGUGGUUGCGAAACCUCGGUUGCCCGUCGUGUGCGGUCGUCGCGCAUCGAGGGCUCGAAAAAAUCGCCGGGUUCCGGCUCGGCUUUCAACGCGACCCCAGGUCAGGCGGGGUUACCCGCUGAAUUUAAGCAUAUCAAUAAGCGGAGGA